GUUAGUGGCGAACGGGUGAGUAACGCGUAGGCAACCUGCCCUCCAGUUGGGGACGAACAUUCCGAAAGGGAUGCUAAUACCGAAUACGAUGGAUUUCCCCGCAUGAGGGAUCCAUGAAAGGCGCUUUUCGGGCGUCGCUGGAAGAUGGCCUGCGUCUGAUUAGCUGGUUGGUGAGGUAACGGCCCACCAAGGCGAUGAUCAGUAGCCGGUCUGAGAGGAUGAACGGCCACAUUGGGACUGAGACACGGCCCAAACUCCUACGGGAGGCAGCAGUGGGGAAUCUUCCGCAAUGGACGAAAGUCUGACGGAGCAACGCCGCGUGAGUGAUGAAGGUCUUCGGAUUGUAAAACUCUGUUGUCGGGGACGAAUGUGCGAUGCAGGAAAUGGCAUUGUAUUGACGGUACCUGACGAGGAAGCCACGGCUAACUACGUGCC
Molecule: ribosomal RNA, 435 nt
Filed under: uncultured bacterium
Lineage: Bacteria
Description: bacterial SSU rRNA
Rfam family: Bacterial small subunit ribosomal RNA
Source: RNAcentral